RNAcentral lists this transfer RNA (83 nucleotides) under Anaerocolumna aminovalerica. Its description in RNAcentral is "Clostridium aminovalericum tRNA". It matches the Rfam family "tRNA". From Rfam's summary of the family: Transfer RNA (tRNA) molecules are approximately 80 nucleotides in length. Their secondary structure includes four short double-helical elements and three loops (D, anti-codon, and T loops). RNAcentral also lists the same sequence under 1 other name. The record is from Rfam by way of RNAcentral. Lineage: Bacteria; Bacillati; Bacillota; Clostridia; Lachnospirales; Lachnospiraceae.
GCGGAUGUGGCGGAAUGGCAGACGCAGCAGACUCAAAAUCUGCCGGGGGCAACCUCGUGAGGGUUCGAGUCCCUCUAUCCGCA